This 497-nucleotide ribosomal RNA is filed under the name uncultured bacterium. RNAcentral's name for it is "partial 16S ribosomal RNA". It matches the Rfam family "Bacterial small subunit ribosomal RNA", at positions 28 to 507 of the family's 1533-position model. The record is from RNAcentral.
GAUGAACGCUGGCGGCGUGCCUAAUACAUGCAAGUCGAGCGAACAGACGAGGAGCUUGCUCCUCUGACGUUAGCGGCGGACGGGUGAGUAACACGUGGAUAACCUACCUAUAAGACUGGGAUAACUUCGGGAAACCGGAGCUAAUACCGGAUAAUAUAUUGAACCGCAUGGUUCAAUAGUGAAAGACGGUUUUGCUGUCACUUAUAGAUGGAUCCGCGCCGCAUUAGCUAGUUGGUAAGGUAACGGCUUACCAAGGCAACGAUGCGUAGCCGACCUGAGAGGGUGAUCGGCCACCCUGGAACUGAGACACGGUCCAGACUCCUACGGGAGGCAGCAGUAGGGAAUCUUCCGCAAUGGGCGAAAGCCUGACGGAGCAACGCCGCGUGAGUGAUGAAGUUCUUCGGAUCGUAAAACUCUGUUAUUAGGGAAGAACAAAUGUGUAAGUAACUAUGCACGUCUUGACGGUACCUAAUCAGAAAGCCACGGCUAACUACGUG